Non-coding RNA from Prunus avium (sweet cherry), 95 nucleotides. The record is from RefSeq and is a predicted model, not a curated record. NCBI's taxonomy places the organism in Eukaryota, Viridiplantae, Streptophyta, Magnoliopsida, Rosales, Rosaceae.
UUAAAGUCAGUAACACAAUUGAUCAAAGGGCACGUAAUGUUAUUCCUGGUCCAGAGGGAUUUCUAAGACAGAAGCUGUCCGGCCGAGGUCUCGCA